RNAcentral lists this ribosomal RNA (842 nucleotides) under uncultured Chaetothyriales. Its description in RNAcentral is "SSU rRNA". It matches the Rfam family "Eukaryotic small subunit ribosomal RNA", at positions 238 to 1085 of the family's 1831-position model. Lineage: Eukaryota; Fungi; Ascomycota; Eurotiomycetes; Chaetothyriales. The record is from RNAcentral.
GCUCCUUGGUGAUUCAUAAUAACUUAACGAAUCGCAUGGCCUUGCGCCGGCGAUGGUUCAUUCAAAUUUCUGCCCUAUCAACUUUCGAUGGUAGGAUAGUGGCCUACCAUGGUCUUAACGGGUAACGGGGAAUUAGGGUUCUAUUCCGGAGAGGGAGCCUGAGAAACGGCUACCACAUCCAAGGAAGGCAGCAGGCGCGCAAAUUACCCAAUCCCAACACGGGGAGGUAGUGACAAUAAAUACUGAUACAGGGCUCUUUCAGGUCUUGUAAUUGGAAUGAGUACAAUCUAAAUCCCUUAACGAGGAACAAUUGGAGGGCAAGUCUGGUGCCAGCAGCCGCGGUAAUUCCAGCUCCAAUAGCGUAUAUUAAAGUUGUUGCCGUUAAAAAGCUCGUAGUUGAACCUUGGACCUGGCUGAUCUGUCCUCCUAAUCGAGCGCACGGAUUCGGUCGGGUCUUUCCUCCUGGGGAGCCCCAUGCCCUUCACUGGGCGUGGUGGGGAACCAGGACUUUUACCUUGAAAAAAUUAGAGUGUUCAAAGCAGGCCUUUGCUCGAAUACAUUAGCAUGGAAUAAUAGAAUAGGACAUCGGUUCUAUUUUGUUGGUUUCUAGGACCGCUGUAAUGAUUAAUAGGGAUAGUCGGGGGCGUCAGUAUUCAAUUGUCAGAGGUGAAAUUCUUGGAUUUAUUGAAGACUAACUACUGCGAAAGCAUUCACCAAGGAUGUUUUCAAUAAUCAGUGAACGAAAGUUAGGGGAUCGAAGACGAUCACAUACCGUCGUAGUCCUAACCAUAAACUAUGCCGACUAGGGAUCGGACGGUGGUUUUUUUAUGCCCCGUUCGGCA